AUGUACACAGGCUUCGCAGAGAAGUUCAGCAAACCCAUUUCCCGCCCCCCGCCCCCCGCCCCCCUCCCUCCCCCGCCGCCCUCGCUCCCCACCCCUCGAACCAUCACCACCUCUGACCCUGAAAGCGCGAGGGAGCGCGCGGGCUCCGGCACCCGCCCCGGCAGACAAUACUCGAGCAACUCCUGCCUUCGCCGCACACGCCUCGCCUGGUCCUGCCACCACUCUCUUCUCCCAGGGUUCCUACAGUCCCCCGGGCCGCAGGCAGGGGCGUCCUGCCGGUUGCUGGGUGUGGAUGGGGAAGAGGGGGGCGAACUGCACACACCACCGAGGCUGCGGGCGGGGGAAGGCGGUCGCAGUCCUCCAAAGCCGCUCGGGUGGUCAGCUCGUCCGAAGCGGGUGGAGGUGGGGGACAGUGAGCCCCGAGGGAGUGACCCCCCCCACCCCCCACCCCCUCACCGGGGGAGGCAGCUUUUCCGCACCUCUUCCCCACCUGGCCCAGCGCGCGCGCACCCAGCGUGCACACCGAGGGGCCGGGCACCUUCCUCCUCCUGUCCCCGGACCUGCCCAGCCUUCGUCCCCGAGCUCAGUGGCCUGGAAGGGACGGCAUCCGGGCCGCGGCGGCCCAGAAGGGACAGAGCGCCGCGCUCGGGGGGUGCCCACCUGCGCGCAGGGUCGCUGCGGCGGCCGGUGCGCCCGCCGGCUGCGCCUUCUCCGCUGCUGGAGGAGGUGGCGGCCGCCCGACCCCUGGCCUCGAAGCGCCGUCUCCUCGCUCCCCGGCGGCGGCGGUCCUCGCUUCCUUCUUCCCUGAGGGUGAGCCUCCCACCUAGCCCGCAGGUUCUGCCACCGUCUCUCUGCCCGCCAGAGCCCGAGCUGUCCUCCCCGCCCCUUUCCCGCCGCCCCGCGCAACGCCGCGCAGCGCUCCGCCCCCCGCCCGCCCAUCCUCGCCCCGGCCCUGCGGGGGGCUGCGGGCCCCGCGCCUCCGGCUGCAGAGCCCCAGUCCCGGUCGAAGGCGGGCGGGAGGGGUUCCGCCUCGACCGCGCGCUCCCACCCUUCUCCGCUCUCCCUCGGCCCGAGGCGGCCGCCCGCACUCACCCCGCGGCCAAGGGCGUGGGCACCGAGGGCUCUGCCCUCGCUCUUCCGGUGUCUCUGCACUCCCCGUAG
RNAcentral lists this long non-coding RNA (1161 nucleotides) under Sus scrofa (pig). Its description in RNAcentral is "lncRNA (ENSSSCG00070024750.1)". The record is from RNAcentral. Lineage: Eukaryota; Metazoa; Chordata; Mammalia; Artiodactyla; Suidae.